GAUGAACGCUGGCGGCGUGCCUAAUACAUGCAAGUCGAGCGAACGGACGAGAAGCUUGCUUCUCUGAUGUUAGCGGCGGACGGGUGAGUAACACGUGGAAACCUACCUAUAAGACUGGGAUAACUUCGGGAAACCGGAGCUAAUACCGGAUGAUAUUUUGAACCGCAUGGUUCAAAAGUGAAAGACGGUCUUGCUGUCACUUAUAGAUGGAUCCGCGCUGCAUUAGCUAGUUGGUAAGGUAACGGCUUACCAAGGCAACGAUGCAUAGCCGACCUGAGAGGGUGAUCGGCCACACUGGAACUGAGACACGGUCCAGACUCCUACGGGAGGCAGCAGUAGGGAAUCUUCCGCAAAGGGCGAAAGCCUGACGGAGCAACGCCGCGUGAGUGAUGAAGGUCUUCGGAUCGUAAAACUCUGUUAUUAGGGAAGAACAUAUGUGUAAGUAACUGUGCACAUCUUGACGGUACCUAAUCAGAAAGCCACGGCUAACUACGUG
RNAcentral lists this ribosomal RNA (496 nucleotides) under uncultured bacterium. RNAcentral describes it as "partial 16S ribosomal RNA". It matches the Rfam family "Bacterial small subunit ribosomal RNA", at positions 28 to 507 of the family's 1533-position model. The record is from RNAcentral.